CACGUAGGGCGCAAGCGUUGUCCGGAAUUAUUGGGCGUAAAGAGCUCGUAGGCGGUCUGUUGCGUCUGCUGUGAAAACCCGGGGCUUAACCCCUGGCUUGCAGUGGAUACGGACAGACUAGAGGUAGGUAGGGGAGAAUGGAAUUCCCGGUGUAGCGGUGAAAUGCGCAGAUAUCGGGAGGAACACCGGUGGCGAAGGCGGUUCUCUGGGCCUUACCUGACGCCGAGGAGCGAAAGCGUGGGGAGCGAACAGG
This 253-nucleotide ribosomal RNA is filed under the name uncultured bacterium. RNAcentral's name for it is "partial 16S ribosomal RNA". It matches the Rfam family "Bacterial small subunit ribosomal RNA", at positions 524 to 776 of the family's 1533-position model. The record is from RNAcentral.